GACGAACGCUUGCGGCGUGCUUAACACAUGCAAGUCGAACGGAAAGGCCCUGCUUUUGUGGGGUGCUCGAGUGGCGAACGGGUGAGUAACACGUGAGUAACCUGCCCUUGACUUUGGGAUAACUUCAGGAAACUGGGGCUAAUACCGGAUAGGAGCUCCUGCUGCAUGGUGGGGGUUGGAAAGUUUCGGCGGUUGGGGAUGGACUCGCGGCUUAUCAGCUUGUUGGUGGGGUAGUGGCUUACCAAGGCUUUGACGGGUAGCCGGCCUGAGAGGGUGACCGGCCACAUUGGGACUGAGAUACGGCCCAGACUCCUACGGGAGGCAGCAGUGGGGAAUAUUGCACAAUGGGCGGAAGCCUGAUGCAGCAACGCCGCGUGCGGGAUGACGGCCUUCGGGUUGUAAACUGCUUUCGCCUGUGACGAAGCGUGAGUGACGGUAAUGGGUAAAGAAGCACCGGCUAACUACGUGCCAGCAGCCGCGGUGAUACGUAGGGUGCGAGCGUUGUCCGGAUUUAUUGGGCGUAAAGGGCUCGUAGGUGGUUGAUCGCGUCGGAAGUGUAAUCUUGGGGCUUAACCCUGAGCGUGCUUUCGAUACGGGUUGACUUGAGGAAGGUAGGGGAGAAUGGAAUUCCUGGUGGAGCGGUGGAAUGCGCAGAUAUCAGGAGGAACACCAGUGGCGAAGGCGGUUCUCUGGGCCUUUCCUGACGCUGAGGAGCGAAAGCGUGGGGAGCGAACAGGCUUAGAUACCCUGGUAGUCCACGCUGUAAACGGUGGGUACUAGGUGUGGGGUCCAUUCCACGGGUUCCGUGCCGUAGCUAACGCUUUAAGUACCCCGCCUGGGGAGUACGGCCGCAAGGCUAAAACUCAAAGGAAUUGACGGGGCCCCGCACAAGCGGCGGAGCAUGCGGAUUAAUUCGAUGCAACGCGUAGAACCUUACCUGGGUUUGACAUGGAUCGGGAGUGCUCAGAGAUGGGUGUGCCUCUUUUGGGGUCGGUUCACAGGUGGUGCAUGGCUGUCGUCAGCUCGUGUCGUGAGAUGUUGGGUUAAGUCCCGCAACGAGCGCAACCCUUGUUCACUGUUGCCAGCACGUUAUGGUGGGGACUCAGUGGAGACCGCCGGGGUCAACUCGGAGGAAGGUGGGGAUGACGUCAAGUCAUCAUGCCCCUUAUGUCCAGGGCUUCACGCAUGCUACAAUGGCUGGUACAGAGAGUGGCGAGCCUGUGAGGGUGAGCGAAUCUCGGAAAGCCGGUCUCAGUUCGGAUUGGGGUCUGCAACUCGACCUCAUGAAGUCGGAGUCGCUAGUAAUCGCAGAUCAGCAACGCUGCGGUGAAUACGUUCCCGGG
Molecule: ribosomal RNA, 1343 nt
Filed under: uncultured bacterium
Lineage: Bacteria
Description: 16S ribosomal RNA
Rfam family: Bacterial small subunit ribosomal RNA
Source: RNAcentral